GAUGAACGCUAGCGGCAGGCCUAAUACAUGCAAGUCGAGGGGUAGAAGAGGCUUGCUUCUUUGAGACCGGCGCACGGGUGCGUAACGCGUAUGCAACCUACCUUCAUCUGGGGGAUAGCCCGGAGAAAUCCGGAUUAAUACCGCAUAAAAUCACAGGAUGGCAUUAUCCAAUGAUCAAACAUUUAUGGGAUGGAGAUGGGCAUGCGUGUCAUUAGCUAGUUGGCGGGGUAACGGCCCACCAAGGCGACGAUGACUAGGGGAUCUGAGAGGAUGGGCCCCCCAACUGGGACUGAGACCCGGACCAGAACUCUUAGGGAGGCAGCAGUUAGGGAUAUUUGUCAAUGGAAGCAACCCUGAACCAGCCAUGCCGCGUUCAGGAAAGCUUCCCUAUUGGUUUUAAACUGGUUUUAUUCGGGAAUAAACCUUAUUACGUGUAAUAAGCUGAAUGUACCGAAGGAAUAAGGAUCGGCUAACUCCGUGCCAGCCGCCGCGGUAA
Molecule: ribosomal RNA, 496 nt
Filed under: uncultured bacterium
Lineage: Bacteria
Description: partial 16S ribosomal RNA
Rfam family: Bacterial small subunit ribosomal RNA
Source: RNAcentral